UCCCUGGUGGCUCAGCAGUAGAGAGUCUGCCUGCCAACGCAGGAGACUCAGGUUUGAUCCCUGAUCCAGGAA
Non-coding RNA from Bos taurus (domestic cattle), 72 nucleotides. The record is from Rfam. NCBI's taxonomy places the organism in Eukaryota, Metazoa, Chordata, Mammalia, Artiodactyla, Bovidae.